RNAcentral lists this ribosomal RNA (450 nucleotides) under uncultured bacterium. Its description in RNAcentral is "partial 16S ribosomal RNA". It matches the Rfam family "Bacterial small subunit ribosomal RNA", at positions 354 to 796 of the family's 1533-position model. The record is from RNAcentral.
GUGGGGAAUUUUGGACAAUGGGCGCAAGCCUGAUCCAGCAAUGCCGCGUGCAGGAAGAAGGCCUUCGGGUUGUAAACUGCUUUUGUACGGAACGAAAAGGCUCUGGUUAAUACCUGGGGCUCAUGACGGUACCGUAAGAAUAAGCACCGGCUAACUACGUGCCAGCAGCCGCGGUAAUACGUAGGGUGCAAGCGUUAAUCGGAAUUACUGGGCGUAAAGCGUGCGCAGGCGGUUUUGUAAGACAGACGUGAAAUCCCCGGGCUCAACCUGGGAAUGGCGUUUGUGACUGCAAAGCUGGAGUGCGGCAGAGGGGGAUGGAAUUCCGCGUGUAGCAGUGAAAUGCGUAGAUAUGCGGAGGAACACUGAUGGCGAAGGCAAUCCCCUGGGCCUGCACUGACGCUCAUGCACGAAAGCGUGGGGAGCAAACAGGAUUAGAAACCCGAGUAGUCC